Brassica napus (rape) is the source of this 3705-nucleotide long non-coding RNA. RefSeq lists it as uncharacterized. The record is from RefSeq and is a predicted model, not a curated record. Lineage: Eukaryota; Viridiplantae; Streptophyta; Magnoliopsida; Brassicales; Brassicaceae. The transcript has 2 exons.
UUUCUAUACUAUAAAUUUUAAAAAUAUUAAUUAUUUUAAAAAUAUUAAUUUGCCAAUACAAUUAAAAAGAAAUUUAAGGUUUUUUUGUUGCCAAAAUAACAAAUCCCGCGCGAAGCGCGGGCUUCCUCUAGUUUUAUUAUAAACUUAGACUUAAAAUUUUAUAUAUGAUAAACAAAAUUUUACAUUUUACAUGAGAAACCUUUUAGUAUCACACUUAUCUUUAUGGUCAUUAAAUUUCAAAUUAAACAAAGGACAAUUCUCUCAAAUAGAUUUUUUUUUUAAGUUUUGUGUCACAAAAAUAGAUUUCAAAAAGUAAAAUGACCAAAAUAAUUUUUUUUAUUUUGAAAUAUUUAAUAUUUUUUAAGUUUUUAAAAUUUGAAAUUAUACCCCUAAAACCCCACCCCUUAACUCUAAACCCUAAACCCUAAAUCAUAAACCUUAAAUCCUAAACCCUAAAUUCUAAACCAUAAACACAAAAACAUACCUCUUAAUAAAAUAUUUUGAUUAUUUUGAUCCUUAAUGAUUAUAUUUGUGACAAAAAAAAUUAGGUAUAUCCUAGGUAAUUUCUCUUAAACAAAACAUUUGUAAUUAAAAAAUUGGAAAUUUAAGUAUUUUCAAUAUAUCUGAAAACUCAUACACAAGAAAUAGAGUUAUGACAGGGGCGGACCCACGGUAGAGUGGAGUGUGGCACGUGCCAUGCACUAAACAAUAUAUCUCUUUCGCCCUUAUUGAACUAAUAGCUGUUAUCAGCUCUUUUGGUUAUGAGACUCACCGCAGUGCCCCACGCUUCACGUGUUCGACCUCUGUCAUAUCAUUUUCUGUUUUCUUUUGGUAAUUAGGCUAAAGAUAAAUAAUUGCUAGUAUUUUAGUUUAAUUCAAAUUUCAAGGGCAAGACCAGAGACAAAACUAAUACUAACACAAUAAUUUUAUUCUAUACAUUUUUUUAUUUUAAUCACUUUUCAAAAAUAUAUAUUCUUUUUUAAUUGUGUUGCAAAUUUUUUUAUGAGUGUUUUCCUUUUCUUUUAGUAUAUAGUUUUUCGAAGAAAAAAAUUGUGCGCUUUAUUUUGUUUUAUUUAUUUAGUAUUUAUUAAUUAUAAUACUUAGAUUAAACUAACAGCUAUAUUUAAUAAGCGUUUGUAAUGAAACUAUAUGUGAAUAUAUAAUUUUAUUUUAACAUUACUCAAAAUAAAUACUUAAUAUUAUAAAAUGCUUAUCUUAUGUUAAUAAUAUUUAAUUUAAAUAAUGCAUUAAAUAAGAUGCAAUAAUGAAUGGUUAAUGUCAAUCAUUUUAAAUUUAUUAUAUAAUAAAUCAUUACAGAAAAAAAAUUAUUAUUAUAUAAUUUAUUAAUUAAAUUAUAUUAAAUAUUUUGUAAAAUAUAAUAUUUAUAUUGUCCCAUCUUAAUUUAUUUUCUAGAUCCGCUACUGGGUAUGAGUCUAUAUGUCUUUGGACGAUAGCUACAAUUGCUGAGUUCAGGACAUAUCGCCUUACAAAUACCAACAGUCCCAAACCUUAUGAAAGAAUCAUUGGACGCAAAUAGUGUACGCAUACAUUGAAUCGAUUCUCUACUUUUGAACGCAUUACAACAGUGUGAAUUGUUCCGUUGGGACACAUUUAUCAAGGGAGCGACGCAAUCGUCAAUGUGUUUGCAUUCUGCUGGCAUUGGGUUAUUUGGCAUAGGGCGUCUACCGCGUCUACCGGCUUUAAUCUGAGCCGGAAAUGAUGUCAAGAGUAGAAAGAAGGCAAUGAGAAUAAACGGAAUAAUCUUCAUUAUAGUAUCUGACCAAAUUCACAGCUAAAACCAGAAUAAACUUAUUCAGUUUGUAGAAAGUAAUCUGUUUUCUUCGUUUUGUUUUAUGUGCUUUAAAUAAAGAAAUUGGAAACUUGAAUUAAUGGUUCUUAAUUACCCAUACCCGGAAAUUAGAAAAGUUGGAAUUGAUUCAUAUAAAGAAGGGAAGGUCGACAACAAAAAAGGGAAGGAUGCUAAUUCUAUUUUUAUUUACAAAACAAACGAUUGACUUGUUCAAUAUCUUCAUCCUAAUUUUAGUCAUUUCUUUGGUUUUGUUGCAUAAUGCAAAACUAGCUUAUGCAACAAACGAUUGGACAACAAACUCACUGUGAGUGGAUCAGUAUCUCUGUUCGAUAACAUCCUGUUUCGAAUUUCCAUUUAACCCACGUUGUUCAGAUUAUAGGUUUUACAUCGAGAUCCGUAUGGGCCUUAGUAAAAUACGGUGAAGAAAUUGAAUCAGCGGUCUAGAAGCCUGAUGCCGUCUCUGUAAUCGUUCACAUCCACCGAACUGUGUCUUUUUCUGCAGUGGUAAUGUGUCUGAAAAUGUGCGGCUUGAUGAACGAGUCUUUCUGAUUAUCAGUGACGGGUGAGUGUCUAUGGAUUGACUUUCCCAUGUUUAAGGCUUCAGUGAAUGUGUCAGUGAUUCAUAUUCAACUUACUUUCUCAAAAACAAUCUAGAAAGCUUCCGUCUGGAUCCCAAAAUUGUUGUCCAUGUGGUGAACAUAUCUCUGUCUCUGCAGAGCAUGAUCAAUAUGCUAAAGCAAGACACAAGGAAGGAUGGUAUAGAAGCGGGGAAUACCCAAAGGUCUCAUUUACAUGCGUUUGGAGAAGAUGUGCGAUCACUGGGUGUUCUACUGAUUUGUAAUGUCAUGAAUAAAUUGUAUUUUUCUUUCUUUUUUUUGUCUGCUUAAGAAUAUAUAUGUACCGUUUGAUUCAACAUAUCUGAUCCAACGUGAAUUGAGUCUUUUAUUAGAUCAUUCGUACUGGUCACAUGUUUUAAUUGCAUCGCUCGAGUUAUUUAGCUCUUUGCAGUUUUGUUUAUAAUAGGAGUAAUGGUGUUGGUGACAUUUGGAGCUUAGGAUCAAGUCGUGAGAAAGUUGUUUUCAAAAACAAAUCGUGAGAGAGAAAAAAAAAAGGGUAUUUGGUUUUCAGACUGAUCAAACUUCAGAGUAUGAACCAAGGGCAAGCCUAUGGAGCAUUCAGCAAUGAAAUACAUAUCAUACUUGCUGAGACAAAAAGUUAAGAAUAUCACAAACAGAUAACUGGUUUUAUGUGUGAGAGAGUUUCUUGAGAAUGAAUGUUAUGCUCAACAACCUAGGCUGUAUCACAGGGAUAGUAAUACGGAUGCUCCAUUCAUAUGCUGAAAUAAAUGUUCAGAUUUAGUUUCUCUGAAGUAUUCUGAAGUUGUUGAAUCAGUUUGUUCCCUUUGUUUUUAUUUGAAAGAAAUAAAUACAUUUUUCCUUUAGUUUAACAAAGUCUCAUUUACACAAAUACCUUUGAAAUCAAUACCCAAAUCGAACCAGCUUAACCCAAACCAAUUUGGUUUUGAUUCAGAGUCGAGUAUAACUUCGGUUCAAUUUAAAAGGUGCUUUUAAACAAAUUCGAUGGUACCGUCAAUCAAGUUCUUGACUUCGCCAAUAAUGUUUGGUAACAAAAAAUUCAACCGAUAAUGUGGAUAUUCAAAAUAUCAAUGAAAAUUAAUGAAAAAAAUAAUAAUUAACAAAAUACUGUUUCAAUCGAUAAACGAAAAACAUGGUACACUGAUAAAUUUCUACGGUUUCAAGUUAGAUAAAUUAAAUAUAUGCAAAAUAUGAUAUAAUUUUAUAAGUAAUAAACUAUUUUUUUAAUUUUUUAUAUAAAUAUAUAGUUUCAUUAAAUCAUAAAUUAAAAUGACUAUAUAAAUUUUAUAUAAACAGAAA